This is a long non-coding RNA of Cygnus olor (mute swan), 2664 nucleotides long. RefSeq lists it as uncharacterized. The record is from RefSeq and is a predicted model, not a curated record. Lineage: Eukaryota; Metazoa; Chordata; Aves; Anseriformes; Anatidae. The transcript has 2 exons.
UGGGCUGUACGAAGUGCUGCUACUCUGCCAUUCCCCUGUGGUGGUCCAAACUUGCUACUGGGUGAGAGUGUGCCCGGCAAGCUUUGUCUUCAGCUGGUAAGGUGUGGUUUGGAAACUGCAUCUAAACAUAGCACAAGAAGAGAAGAGAGUCUGUGCAUUGGAGGAGUAAAAGAUCUGUGUAAGGGCUGCAAAGAGAUCAAAUGCAAAAAGACUGCGUUCUGGCAAUAUAGCUUGAAGCACUGCAUGAAUAUGUAACUGCCUGAAGCCCUACUCAGCCUAUGUGUUGGUAGGAGCAGCUUUUAGGCUGGAUCCUCUUUGCCACCAUCAGCACCAGCUGAGAGCUCAGACUUUCUUUCAUCCUGCUCCUAUGGUUUUAUUGAACCUGCUCUAAGGAGAAAUGAAAUGCAUCUUUCAGAAAUACACAAAUGUUUUCUCAAACCUGAAGGGGGAAAAAGAAGUGAUGGUUUUAUGAGGAUAAAAUCCUAGCACUUUCACAUAAAAAGAGGAUAAUCUGUUUCCUUUUACUGCCCUAACUGGAAUUCAGAGGCUGAUCUGGGCCAGGCUCCCACUUCUUGUUCGUUUGAAAUAAUUUUCUAGGAACUGAGUGUCGGUUAAAAGCCUCUUGUAGUUGCGAAGUCUCCGCAAGAGUCACUGGAAAUCCACGUGCUUCUUUCUAGGCAGUGUAGACUGUUUAAUUUACUUAUUUUUUCUUUGGUAGAACUCCGAAGAGGAUGUCUUGAAGCCUUUAUAUAGCAGAAACAGCGGGCACAAGAAUAGUGAUGCAUUUGGUAAGGCAGCCUAUACUGACUGACAGCAUUCCCCAUCUUGGCACAGAACGGUUAAACCAGGCCCUUCCCCACCACGCUGGUAUGUUUGGGUGAAGAGGUGAUAUUUUUAAAAUCACAGCAUGUCUCAACGAUGAUGUUCCGAGUAUGCCUUCAUGCCGUCAUACGCAGCAAAAUCUAGAGAUGUUUUUCACUGUUGUGUGUGGGGCACCACAGAGUACAUGAAAUUAAGUGUGAACAAAACAAACUGAGAGUCAAACUUGCUUGAACGAGCAAGUGGGAUGCAAUAGCCUUCCUCCUGUGCGGUGUUUAGAAACUUCUAUCUGUCCAAGAUUGCUCUUCUGAUGCACUUAUAAGGGAUGAAUCAAAAGGAUCUCUCCAGCCUAAAUGUGCAAGGUGAGAGAGAGAGAGAGGCCUGGGAACACGGAGGCAGCAAAGCUACACAGUUUAAUUUUUGACAGUCUGUUUGGAUUUAAUUUGGGGCUGUAAGUGUUUUCUCUCUGCUGGGACAGGCAAACUCAGUGUGAGGUAUUUGCAUCAUCUACUUCAUGCAUCUGAGCCAGGAACGAGCUGAGGAAUGAAGCUGGGAGCCUACAUUGCCCGUGGAGCCACUGUUAAGAAGUAGGACUGUCUGCAAGGGACAGGGAUGUUUACUCUACCAAAGAAAGGUACCUCAGUUGCAGCAUUUUGAAGAUGUUAAGACAGAUCUGAAGAAUUUAAACCAUACCUGAUUCGAUUCUAGCCUGCCUACCUGGUCUGGAUCUGAAAGGUGAGACCAUCUUGUUUUUUUCUUUUUUUCACCAGCCCUUUGAGCUUCAAGUAAGGCAUUUAUUUAUUUUUUAAUGAGGUUUCAACAAAACACAAUCAAUAUCUGUGGGUUUGGUUGCCAUAGUAAACUUUAACACUUAGCAUGCUGACAUGGUCUGCACUUGUAGUCAAACACAUGCUUUGCCACCAAAAAGUUAGGGACUCCACUCAGCCUAAAAUCCAUGCUUGAGCGCACAACCAUUUUGUUGUCUGUCUCAGCCAAAUGGUUCAGCUGGUUGCCUUGCAUACUAUCUUAUUGCUUCUUCUGAUUCCCUCUACAUUUACCUCUUCUAGAGGUGUUUCUUGGAUGGAGCUGACAUCUGCACAGCUUUGAAGCUCUCCCUUCACUUAGGGCCACAUACAACACCCUCAGUCAAACCCAGUAAUUUCUUACAGCUUGUGAGUUUUCCUGUAUUGACCAGAAAGAUCUGCAAAGUUUCUGGAAGGGCUAGUGAGAAUUUGUGUAUACACAGAGUCUGGGCUUUGUGUCUAUUUUUUUGGUUGCUGCCUUCCCUCCUUAUUAAAUGUUGAAGUGAAACACUGACCUUCGCCGUGGUCAGCUUAAGGAAGAGAGAGCAAAUGUGACUAUGCAGCAGCUAGAUGUAUGUCUGUGGUGGUGUAAAAGUGUUUGGGUAUUGCAGUAAUUUUGGUUGCCCAGUUCACAAUGUAGUUUAACAGCCAGGUAGCUCAAGCAUACUGCCUAUGCUGCAGCAUGGUAAGGGCUUCAGUUUUCUGCUGGUGACGAAGGGUUUUGUUCAUGCUGUUACGGAGUAGGAACUACAACUGGCUUGAGAUGGGUCAUCCAAUGGGCCUUUCAAGUGCAAAUUCAAAUUGCACUCUGACCUGCGCCAAUUUUCUCUGUGCCACUUCCUCCUCUUGCUUUUGCGGUCCAGAAACUUCUCUUCUCCCCCCAUCCUGUACCUUUUCUUCUCUCCCUCUCCUGACUCUCUUUGCAGCCUCUCAGGCUGUUCCCAGCGAGGCUGGCUGCCCUGCCUCUUGUCCCAGGAUAAAUCCCCCUGCCUUUGUGCCUGCUGUCUCCAAGAGCCCCUGAUGAAAGAUCAGUGUGAGGGGG